UGGGGGGAACCCUGAUCCAGCAAUGCCGCGUGUGUGAAGAAGGCCUGCGGGUUGUAAAGCACUUUCAGUAGGGAGGAGUCUUGGUUGGUUAAGAGCUAAUUAAGAGGACGUUACCUACAGAAGCAGCACCGGCUAACUCCGUGCCAGCAGCCGCGGUAAUACGGAGGGUGCAAGCGUUAAUCGGAAUUACUGGGCGUAAAGGGUGCGUAGGUUGUUGUAUAAGUUAGUUGUGAAAUACCAGUGCUUAACAUUGGGGCGUCAACUAGUACUGUAUGACUUGAGUAAAGUAGAGGGUGGUGGAAUUUCCGGUGUAGCGGUGAAAUGCGUAGAGAUCGGAAGGAAUACCGGUGGCGAAGGCGACCACCUGGACUAUUACUGACACUGAGGCACGAAAGCGUGGGUAGCAAACAGGAUUAGAUACCCUGGUAGUCCACGCUGUAAACGAUGUCAACUAGCUGUUUGGUAUAUAGAGAUACUGAGUAGCGCAGCCCACGCGAUAAGUUGACCGCCUGGGGAGUACGGUCGCAAGAUUAAAACUCAAGGAAUUGACGGGG
Molecule: ribosomal RNA, 554 nt
Filed under: uncultured bacterium
Lineage: Bacteria
Description: bacterial SSU rRNA
Rfam family: Bacterial small subunit ribosomal RNA
Source: RNAcentral